This 72-nucleotide transfer RNA is filed under the name Ornithorhynchus anatinus (platypus). It matches the Rfam family "tRNA". Rfam says of the family: Transfer RNA (tRNA) molecules are approximately 80 nucleotides in length. Their secondary structure includes four short double-helical elements and three loops (D, anti-codon, and T loops). Lineage: Eukaryota; Metazoa; Chordata; Mammalia; Monotremata; Ornithorhynchidae. The record is from Rfam by way of RNAcentral.
GGCAGUGUGUCUUAGUGGAAAGAGACAGACUUGGGAGUCAGAAGGACAUGGGUUCUAAUCCCAGCUCUGCCA